AAGGGAAAGACAUUGCUGUUAUGGGCGUUUGUCUUUCCAAGUAACCAUUACAUGUGAUGCAGCCCUUCUGUCCUGGAGAUGGCUGACCACCUGCCUGCCAAUGGGAAGUGGUGAAUGAAUUACUUGUUUUUCCUUGCUUG
Molecule: long non-coding RNA, 140 nt
Organism: Athene cunicularia (burrowing owl)
Lineage: Eukaryota; Metazoa; Chordata; Aves; Strigiformes; Strigidae
Exons: 3
Source: RefSeq, a predicted model, not a curated record